CUGAAACACGGACCAAGGAGUCUAGCAUGUGAGCGAGUGAUAGAGUGUAAAUACUCUGUCGCGAAAUGAAAGUGAAAUGUGUUGAACAUGAGUGGUGAACUGUAGCUUUGAGUUAUGGUGCACUCACAGGCUGCGUAAAAGCUGCUGUAUUUAUACAGUGACGUUUUGUCGUAGACCUAAAGCUGACACAGUAGUACCCGAAAGAUGGUGAACUAUGCCUGGCCAGGAUGAAACCAGGGGAAACUCUGGUGGAAGUCCGCAGCGAUUCUGACGUGCAAAUCGAUCGUCUGAGCUGGGUAUAGGGGCGAAAGACUAAUCGAACCAUCUAGUAGCUGGUUCCGCCCGAAGUUUCCGCUAGGAUAGCUAGCACUUGUGAAACGGAGUUUCACCCGGUAAAGCGAAUGAUUAGAGGUAUUGGUUUCGUAAGAACAUAACCUAUUCUCAAACUUUUAAUGGGUGAGACGUUGCGUUGUCUUAAUUGCAAUUGCAACUUCGAAUCAAAGUGCUGAGUGGGCCACUUUUGGUAAGCAGAACUGGCGAUGCGGGAUGAACCGCAAGUUGAGAUAAGGUGCCUAAACGUACGCGUAUUAGAUACCAUAAAAGGUGUUAAUUGCUCUUGACAGCAGGACGGUGGCCAUGGAAGUUGGCAUCCGCUAAGGAGUGUGUAACAACUCACCUGCCGAGCCCCCUUAGA
RNAcentral lists this ribosomal RNA (694 nucleotides) under Boschmaella japonica. RNAcentral describes it as "eukaryotic LSU rRNA". It matches the Rfam family "Eukaryotic large subunit ribosomal RNA", at positions 654 to 1317 of the family's 3401-position model. The record is from RNAcentral. Lineage: Eukaryota; Metazoa; Arthropoda; Thecostraca; Chthamalophilidae.